Molecule: RNA transcript, 2163 nt
Organism: Zea mays
Lineage: Eukaryota; Viridiplantae; Streptophyta; Magnoliopsida; Poales; Poaceae
Gene name: protein-like pseudogene
Exons: 8
Source: RefSeq, marked validated
GGACCCUGGACGCGCAGGCUGUCCGAGGCACCGAUCUCACCGGUAACGAUGGUUCGAUGGCGAGAGGUUGGGUGAGGCGGGGCCAUGGUGACUGGUGGCAAGUGCUGCGGCGCCGGAGGACAUGGCUAACAUGGCGGUGUCGGCGCUGGAGGCCUCUCUCGGCAGAGCGUAUCCGCGGACAGCGCGCGCUGUGCCAGUGUGCGCAGCAGCAGAGAGAACGUAUCGGAGGAGCGGCAGGCGCGCGCGUGCGCAUGUGCGCCGGGAGUCUGGUGCUGCGAUCGGGCGUGCAGUGCACAGACAGGGGGCGCGCGGGUUGAGGACGGGGCGCGCAUGCGGCAUGCGCGCCGCGCGUGGUGGGGGCGGGGGAUCGCUUGCCUCGUCUUUACGGGACACUGCGAUCCGAGGCGGGAGCGCGCAGCCACUCGAGCCGAGGCGGUGCCGCGCUCGGGGAGGCAGCCCAGCGCGGGGUGCUCGCGCGUGCAGCCCAGCGGGGGCCAGCAGAUCGAGCAUCGCGCGACGAUGGUGGGUGGGUGGAGAUGAUCAGGCGCGGGGCGGUGUAGGUGCGUGCCGACAUCCCAUGCAGCCAACGCAGUGCCCCAGCCCCCAGGGUAGGCCGAUACCGGAGCCCCGCGCCACCCAACGCCAGCGACAGCGACGCCGCGGACUCCUCCUCGCCCUCGCCGACGCGCACGGUGCGUUCCUGGAGGCGCUGCUCGACCUAAGGUGCGGCCACGGCGCACUCUGGCUGUGCGACACGGCGGGCGCCCAGCGGCACGCUGAGAGUGACCUUGUCCGCCUCGUGUCCUCCGCGCGCGCCGGCGUCAGGCUCCCGCAGGCGGCGGUGCCCGUGGCGCCAGCCAGCGAGCGAGGAAUAGCACUUCCUGUUGGCCAUAGAUGGCGAUGAAAGCCAACUGCAUCGUCCGCACCUUUCCCCUACGUUGCCCGCAUACGCUCUGUAGUGGCGGACCAUGGCCUCCCGCUUCACCUGCAGGGCGCCGCCGACCGAGCGCGCCUGUGGCAGGAGCCGCUCGCUCAGACCAGAUUGGCGCCUCUUCAGCAGCGUGACUUCUGUCCUUCAAGCUAUGAAGGGACACGUAUUUGGGCAGUGGUGGUUCAUGGCCGAGGCACAGUUCCACGACCAGGGCGACGUGCACAACAUCGCCAUCGAGUGCAGUGGUGGUGUGAGGACGUGAUACCGAUGUGGAAAUUACUAUUGCCAUCGACGACGAGAGCACUUUACUAGAUCUUCUUAGAAGAGGAAACUGAACGAUGGGCACACUGCGGGUGAUCAGGUGGCAGCGAUGUGAGGACGGUCAGCAUGGCCAUGGAGAUGCUGAUGAAGCCUAGGUUGGUCAUCCUAGAUGAGCCCACCAUUGGUUUGGAUAGAAACUCUUUCAGGCAUGAACUAACUGUACUGGAGAAGGUUCGACACUGUACUAUGUUGUUCAGUUCGUCGGAGCUGUCACUCAGGACAUACCUAUGAUGAUUGUUUCUGAACUCCAUGAAGAGACUUAUGAGAUGUAUCCAGAAGAAAGCAAAGUUACGUGCGCAAAAGGUGCUAAGAAAUGGCCUUGAUAUUUCCAGUGCAUGGUUCGAAGAGCUUCACAAGCAGAGUUCAGAGAGUUGCUGAAUUGAAAAGGGGAAUUGGAGAAGUCAGAAAAUUCUAUCGGAGAUUUGAGAUCUCCUUUUUAGUCUUCUACGUCUUUUCAAUCUGUGAUUGGGAUUUGGGAGCUUCAGCAAAUAUAACAUGUUUAUGGGACUGGGAGUUUUGAAUGCGGCACCAGUCAUACUGAAUCAGGUUCACACUCCAAAAAACACAGCAGAUAAUUCUUCAGGCCAAGGCACAUCCAAAGAUCACGAGCAUUCUAUUAUAGUUACUAGGCCUGAUGGCAUGCCAGCACAUAUUAGGAUGCUAGUGUUUGGUUUUGCCUUGACGAACUCUCUACAUGAUGGAUAUCUCAAUAUGGGCACCUGGAAGGUAAGGGAAACACACGCCCAUUCUCACAAUUGAGCAGAUGUUCAUGCUUCCUGCAACUCCCCAUUUUGCAUUCAGAAGGUCAUAAUUUGGUAAUACAUGGCAAACGGAUGUGAGUUUAUAGUAUAACUGUCUGUAUUGAAACUAUAACAUCUUAGGAAAUAGUCAAAUUAAAUUUGGGCCUGGAU